This 229-nucleotide ribosomal RNA is filed under the name uncultured bacterium. RNAcentral's name for it is "partial 16S ribosomal RNA". It matches the Rfam family "Bacterial small subunit ribosomal RNA", at positions 568 to 796 of the family's 1533-position model. The record is from RNAcentral.
UGCGUAGGCGGAAUAAUAAGUCAGUGGUGAAAUCCUGCAGCUUAACUGUAGAACUGCCAUUGAUACUGUUAUUCUUGAGUAUAGUUGAGGUAGGCGGAAUGUGUAAUGUAGCGGUGAAAUGCUUAGAUAUUACACAGAACACCAAUUGCGUAGGCAGCUUACUAAACUAUUACUGACGCUGAGGCACGAAAGCGUGGGGAGCGAACAGGAUUAGAUACCCUGGUAGUCC